This 406-nucleotide ribosomal RNA is filed under the name uncultured bacterium. Its description in RNAcentral is "partial 16S ribosomal RNA". It matches the Rfam family "Bacterial small subunit ribosomal RNA", at positions 30 to 526 of the family's 1533-position model. The record is from RNAcentral.
AUUGAACGCUGGCGGCAGGCCUAACACAUGCAAGUCGAACGAGUGGCGGACGGGUGAGUAAUGUCGGGGAACCUGCCUGAAGGAGGGGGAUAACUACUGGAAACGGUAGCUAAUACCGCAUACCAUCAGAUGUGCCCAGAUGGGAUUAGCUAGUUGGUGGGGUAACGGCCCACCAAGGCGACGAUCCCUAGCUGGGCUGAGAGGAUGACCGGCCACACUUGCACUGGGACACGGUCCAGACUCCUACGGGAGGCAGCAGUGGGGAAUAUUGCACAAUGGGCGCAAGCCUGAUGCAGCCAUGCCGCGUGUAUGAAGAAGGCCUUCGGGUUGUAAAGUACUUUCAGCGGGGAGGCGUUACCCGCAGAAGAAGCCCCGGCUAACUCCGUGCCAGCAGCCGCGGUAAUUC